This 401-nucleotide ribosomal RNA is filed under the name uncultured bacterium. RNAcentral describes it as "bacterial SSU rRNA". It matches the Rfam family "Bacterial small subunit ribosomal RNA", at positions 30 to 442 of the family's 1533-position model. The record is from RNAcentral.
AUUGAACGCUGGCGGCAGGCCUAACACAUGCAAGUCGAGCGGGGUUUUCGGACCUAGCGGCGGACGGGUGAGUAAUGCGUAGGAAGCUACCCGAUAGAGGGGAUACCAGUUGGAAACCGACUGUUAAUACCGCAUAAUGUCUACGGACUAAAGUGUGGGACCUUCGGGCCACAUGCUAUCGGAUGCGCCUACGUGGGAUUAGCUAGUUGGUGGGGUAAUGGCUCACCAAGGCGACGAUCCCUAGCUGGUUUGAGAGGAUGAUCAGCCACACUGGAACUGAGACACGGUCCAGACUCCUACGGGAGCAGCAGUGAGGAAUAUUGGUCAAUGGACGCAAGUCUGAACCAGCCAUGCCGCGUGCAGGAUGACGGUCCUAUGGGAUUGUAAACUGCUUUUGUACG